RNAcentral lists this non-coding RNA (209 nucleotides) under Enterococcus sp. RNAcentral's name for it is "T-box sequence". It matches the Rfam family "T-box leader". From Rfam's summary of the family: Uncharged tRNA acts as the effector for transcription antitermination of genes in the T-box leader family. T-boxes are found upstream of many aminoacyl-tRNA synthetase genes and some amino acid biosynthetic genes usually in Gram-positive bacteria. The record is from RNAcentral. Lineage: Bacteria; Bacillati; Bacillota; Bacilli; Lactobacillales; Enterococcaceae.
ACAACAACGUUUGAGAAGGAAGUAGUAAAAAGUCGAAAGUUUUAGAGAGCACAUGGUUGGUGGAAAUGUGUACGGACGCUUUUGAACUCGCCUUUAAGUUGCAACUGCCGAAAGUAAUAGUAAGCAGAAGCGGUGACGACCGUUACGACGUCCGAGGCCUUGGUCUACAAGGCAAAAUUAGGUGGUACCACGUAGAUUACGUCCUAUAA